RNAcentral lists this ribosomal RNA (446 nucleotides) under uncultured bacterium. RNAcentral describes it as "partial 16S ribosomal RNA". It matches the Rfam family "Bacterial small subunit ribosomal RNA", at positions 338 to 795 of the family's 1533-position model. The record is from RNAcentral.
CCUACGGGAGGCUGCAGUCGAGAAUCAUUCACAAUGGGGGAAACCCUGAUGGUGCGACGCCGCGUGGGGGAAUGAAGGUCUUCGGAUUGUAAACCCCUGUCAUGUGGGAGCAAAUUAAAAAGAUAGUACCACAAGAGGAAGAUACGGCUAACUCUGUGCCAGCAGCCGCGGUAAUACAGAGGUCUCAAGCGUUGUUCGGAAUCACUGUGCGUAAAGCGUGCGUAGGCUGUUUCGUAAGUCGUGUGUGAAAGGCGAGGGCUCAACCCGCGGACGGCAGAUGAUACUGCGAGACUAGAGUAAUGGAGGGGGAACCGGAAUUCGCGGUGUAGCAGUGAAAUGCGUAGAUAUCGAGAGGAACACUCGUGGCGAAGGCGGGUUCCUGGACAUUAACUGACGCUGAGGCACGAAGGCCAGGGGAGCGAAAGGGAUUAGAUACCCCAGUAGUC